Molecule: ribosomal RNA, 441 nt
Filed under: uncultured bacterium
Lineage: Bacteria
Description: partial 16S ribosomal RNA
Rfam family: Bacterial small subunit ribosomal RNA
Source: RNAcentral
CCUACGGGUGGCAGCAGUGGGGAAUAUUGCACAAUGGGGGAAACCCUGAUGCAGCGACGCCGCGUGAGCGAGUAAGUAUCUCGGUAUGUAAAACUCUAUCAGUAGGGACGAAAAAAGACGGUAUCUGACUAAGAAGCCCCGGCUAACUACGUGCCAGCAGCCGCGGUAAUACGUAGGGGGGAAGCGUUAUCCGGUUUUACUGGGUGGAAAGGGAGCGUAGACGGCAAGGCAAGCCAGAAGUGAAAGGGAAGGGCGCAACCCUGUACAUGCUUUUGGAACUGUGGUGCUAGAGUGCAGGAGAGGUAAGUGGAAUUCCUAGUGUAGCGGUGAAAUGCGUAGAUAUUAGGAGGAACACCAGUGGCGAAGGCGGCUUACUGGACUGUAACUGACGUUGAGGCUCGAAAGCGUGGGGAGCAAAAAGGAUUAGAUACCCCUGUAGUC